This is a long non-coding RNA of Suricata suricatta (meerkat), 5139 nucleotides long. RefSeq lists it as uncharacterized. The transcript is spliced from 2 exons. The record is from RefSeq and is a predicted model, not a curated record. NCBI's taxonomy places the organism in Eukaryota, Metazoa, Chordata, Mammalia, Carnivora, Herpestidae.
AGCCACCGUCCUUGGCCGAGGGGCCGCCCCAAGACGCACCGCGUACUCCCCGGCCAGGGCCCGGGCAGAUUAGGACCACCACCCGAUGAGGCCCUGCCGGCUCGCCCUGCGGUCUCCCCACCCGCCGCUGUGCACCCUGGCACCUGCACGGAGUCAUUUUUACCCUAGGCCGACCUGCACCAAAGGCGCGGAUGCAGCACCCCUGGACGCCGUCAGCCACCCCCCUCCAGCUGUGACAACCAAAAAUGCCUCCAGACAUUGCCACAGAACUGCGCCCACUCCCCUGCGGCCCUCUCGGUUCACAAAUGGGCAGACUGCACCCCACAGGGGAAGGGGGCUCGCUUAGAGCUGCGCUGACCCGGGAUGGCCGCGCUGAGGCUCGGCCUCCCAACACCCCAGCGGUGCUCAGACCCCCUCUACCUGGAAGAGGGCUGAGCACGCCCUUGAGAGACUGUCCACUUAGGGGGCAGCCAGGGUCCCAGGCCCGGGGGUCUCAUGGUCAGCUCCCGUGUCUACACUUAUCCGAAGCCUCCGAGCAGCGAGAGGAGAGGUCAGGCUCUGGCAGCCGUGUGCACCCCCAGUCCCUCCCAGAGCCCCGGACUGGAGAGGGCGGGCCGGGCAGCGGGGAGCGCACGCGUGGAAGUGGUGCGGCCAACGGCUAGAAGGCUCUGGAGUCUCUUACAGAGACACGCUAGCAAAUGGACGCACCACUGUCUCAACAGCAGCGGAAGUCAGGUUCGGAAGAUCACUGGCGAAUGCCGUGGGGAGAGGAAACACAUUUAGAACUUUCUCCAGCUCCGUGCAAAGUGUGCCGUUAACGACAGCGUGGUUACGAAACAGAGGCCGGCUGGGGGCACAGGUGUCACUCGGGUGCCCUGCAGCCGUCCAAGCUAAGUGCAAAGGGAAAGAAACCCCACCACACAGGGAACAGCGGGCUCUCCGGGAAGACCGGGACCCACCCACGGGGGUGACGUGUCAGGCGACGGAGUCUAAAGGGCAUCCGUGGCUCUGGCCCCGGCAGAGGGACGGUCAAAUGAACAUCACGGCCCCUCUCAGGACUGGCAAAACCUGACUGGAACCAUCGAAGGUUUGUCCGAGACUCUUAAUUAUUGACCUCUUCAAAAGCUGCUCUCCAGCCCCCUCCGCCGCAAGCAAUGAGCCUCUGACUGUUGAGAUCAACUUCCAGUUUGUGGACUUCGGCUCAGUCAGCGGAGAAGCCUCCUUCCCCUCCCUCCUCUCCCCUCCGCUCCCCUGCACUGGGCCACUCUCGUGGGAGGGAGGGAGAGCGGGGAGAAAGCCCUUACAAGCCAGGUGUCCUUUCUCUCCCAAUCUCCCGAGCUGACGGAGCCCCAAAGUGGAAUUCUGCACACGCCUGCCCAGCCCUUGACCCUCACCAAAGCGGGGGCAGAGGUCACAGGGAGAGAGACGCCCGGACAAUCAACUGGAUGGAUCUGGGAGACGAAGCUCCCGAGUGCGGCCAGCCGUGCGCUGUGCGGCCCUUGCGGAGGCGGGCGGACGGUCCUGCUCCCCUUCCACAACGUGACGGCAGCCGGACUAACGGCUGCUAAGAUGCUUUCCAGCUUGAGAAAGAAAAAAAGCUGCUUCAACAUGAGGCCAGAGCCGGUUUUGCUCGGAUCCGCUACAUGCGUGCUGGUCACAACGGUUCAGACUCGGCCACUGAAUGCACGCCGGGCGUCGUGGACCGCCUCCUCCAGGCACAGCAGAGAAGAGCCCCUAAAGCAGGCAUCCGGGCAGCACCCGGGAGCCCAGGGUGGCCCCGCGGGCCGGGAGCCUGUGGCGGACACGGAGAGCCACCACUGCCACGGCCGGGACAGAAUCGAGGCGGGGGAGCUGGAGGCGCACCGCGAACAGGGACAGACCGCGCGAGAGGCCGGUGGGCCUGCGGGGGGCACGCUUUUCGGUGAGACCUCCAAAAAGCUCAGCGUCAAGGAGGGCGCCUGGGUGACUGACGAGUCCAGACCGUUGGGGUUUAGUUACGAAGGGUGAUGACCUGAGAGGGGCUUAAGAACAUGAUUACAACUCUGAGCACAGCGGUCCCGUCACACAGCCACCUGCAGCGCUCGUGCACUGAGUUCUGAGGACGCAAGGGCCUCAGGAAAGCCGGCUGCCAUCUUGGUUGGGAACUUUGAAGGGGCAGACAAGGGCGUCCGCCCUUCUGGUCGCCAGGGACCGGGGCCGCCCUUCUCGAGGGCCACCUCAAGCCUCCACAUCCCAGAAGAUCAGAACUUGUGGCCAGACGGCUUCCCUCACAGCAGGCUGAGUCAGGGCCAGAGCAAGAGUUCGGUGACUCACACGAGUCUACCAUGACCCCAGAGCUCCCCCAGGGUGCUGCUGUGUGAGUUCACGCUGCACCUCCACGUACGGGGACAAGUGUCAACUGGCCCUGGAGAUGACCUGGCUUCCUGCACCAGAAAUCCACGUGACCAAGAGCCUCAUCGUAGGAGAGCGGUGACAAGUCGCAUGCAGGAGAGCACAGCUGUGCCUCGCUUCCCAGCCCCCGCCCCCAGUGUCUCCACCCCGCUCCCCAGAAGAGGCGGGAUGGCUCUUCCUAACCUCCUAAGAUGGGCAGGCGGGAGAGAACGUGCCCUCUUUGCCCUCUCCCCUUGCUCCUGCUUGUGUGGGGCAGGAAGGCCCGGCAGGGCAGGGGGCACAGAGCAGAGCAACAGGACAGCGAUGCUGAGGACCCCUCGCCGUUACGAGAGCCCCACUCACGCCCAACAGCUGUCUGAGCACUGUCAGUCCGGGGCCCGGUGGGCCCACUCACGGUCUGUCAGGCCGCCCGAGCUACCCAACGCCGGACCGGAGGCCCAGGGGAGCUCCCAAGACUGGCUCCACCGUGCCAAAGGACGGGUAAAAUCACCAAAGGCCACCUGGAGGGGCAAGGUCCCAUGCAGCUUAUCGGUCACCCUGGCGACAGAUGAGACGUCAGGCCCAACCCAUUAGGUGCUAAUACUCCGGUUCACUGGCGCGGAUGCACCUGGCAGUUAGGCUCCCCCGAAGGGCAGCGAGCCCCAGCUUUGGACACAGACGUAACCGUGGAUCGCUGAGUUCCUUAGCCUCUGGCCCCUCCUGACCUGGUCUCAGAUGGCUUCCGAAUGCCUGGCUCCUGCAGGGGCACGCUCAGCAUUUUCUCCUGCGCCUGGCUUCCUGGCUGCCCGGGGCAAGGAGCCUGAGGCCGGGGAUGUAGCUCCAAAGAAGCCUGCCAGUCAGGGCGAAUCGGGCGGCUGCCCCUGCGCUCUCACCCCUGCGGGCCUCGAGGGGAGGCUGCGAGGCAGCCAGGAGGCGAGGAGCCCAGCCUCCAGGACCCAGAUGUGGGCUCAGAACUUCGGCCUCCGAUGCGCCACGCAAGCCCGCCCUCUCCACGCCUGACCGUGGGGACGCUGUGGCCGGCCUGGCGCGGUCGAGGGGAGCACAGUGCUGAGGACCUGGCCCGGAGCUCCUGUCUCUUACUGUAACUACUGGGGGACACAAUGGGCUCCACAGGUGCUGCUCUCAGCAACCUACACUUCCUGGCCAGCACCUGUCACUUGAGUUUUGCUUUCGUUUUCUGAAGACGGGGUUUGAAAAAACGGGUCUGUCGUGUUACCAAUGGGUGACUUUGAUGAUACCCCAUGCCCUUCGAAUGAGCUCAUUUUCACUCUAAAAGCCCAGGCUCCAGCAUCUUUACUACUGGCCGCUUUGCCUUAAUAUCACGGGGAUAAAUGUUGAAACGGCAGCUUGGCCACAUGUUAUCCACAGGAAGCCGUCACUUGGGCUCUGCGCUCUCUUCUCUGCCCACGGCCUCCCGUGCCGAGCCCGCCUAUGGCAAAAGAUGCUGCUGACUUCGGUUUUGAAGAGGACAAGGGCCACUCGAGGGCCACAGCCCUCCCGAGUCACCCACAAAAGGGCAUGGAAGGGUCUUUUGACAUCGAAUGCCACCAAGGUGGGCCCUGAAGCUGACAGGAAGAGCCGCACCGCCUGACAAGACACAGCCCUGGGCCACCCGGGGUUUGAUUCUGAACACCGGCCUCCGGAAGCUCGAAGUGCCAGCCAGGAGGCUGGGUUUCCCCCCAGGGCCCGGCCCCAGGCAGUAACUUGGCGCAGACAGACCCUGUGUCCCUGCGUCCCCCUGAAGGGCCUUUCCGGUUCCAAGAUCCUGCAUCUUUCAUUUAAGCAAAAUGCAUGGAGAAAAACAAAAGAAAAGAUUACAUAUACAGAUUUUGAACUUUUUCUUUCUCUGGAGGAAAGUUGAUCGUUGGAUAAUUGGCAGCAGCCUGGCGAGAGACAUUUUAUCUAGAUUUGGUUAUGAAACGCUUGCAAGAUCAGGGUCCUCCGGACUGAAGGGUGCGGGCACAGAGCUCUCACGGCCCCCUCGCGUGGCAGGAGCCAUCUUCUUAGGGAGUUUCUACUUGGGGGAAAUGAAAUCGGGUCACGGAAACCGUGUCACUGAAAAUGGCCAGGGAAGGCCUACGUGACUCUUGAGGGCUCUGCGUAUGACCGGUGUUGGUGAACGGUGCCCUUUUCACAUGGUCUCUGAACACAAAAUCAUGCCCUUAGCGAAAACCAUUUCUCCAGGUUGACAUACCUCUCCCCCAAGCCGGUUUUACAAGGAGCCACCAUGCAUCCCCCUCCCGCGCCCGGACGCCAGACAGACCGCACCCCUCCGGGGGAGCGUGGAAGACGGAGCUCGCCCAUCCCGGCUCCGAAAACACGCCUCCGUGCUCUUCACCCACACAAACGCACACGAGCCGCCCAAUAAACCCACGCUUUCGAGUUUUGUUGCUCAGUGCCACCCCCAUAAAACUGAAAAAUUUAACCUCACUACUUUUUGAACCUGGCAAAAACCACAAGCCCGUUAAGUACACCAAGGAAAGAAGUGGCCACUGGGCAGGACACGGCUCUGCCUCCAGGGAUAAGCCUGGUCCCCUGCAGACAUAACGGGUGACUUUCACACUGGACGAUCCAAGCUCGAGGGAAAGAGCCGGGAAGCUCUGUCCUUUCCCCCUUCUACGAUCUGAUUCUGUCCCUCUGGUCUGUGUCAACUGCCUGUUUCAGGAGCUUCCCCGGUGCUCAGAAUCGCUCUGUAAACUCCAGAAGGGGGGAAAAUAAACCCCGGAAGAGAGGCUUCCCCUCCUCCCA